RNAcentral lists this ribosomal RNA (265 nucleotides) under uncultured bacterium. RNAcentral's name for it is "partial 16S ribosomal RNA". It matches the Rfam family "Bacterial small subunit ribosomal RNA", at positions 333 to 590 of the family's 1533-position model. The record is from RNAcentral.
UCAGGCCUACGGGGGGCAGCAGUAGGGAAUCUUCCACAAUGGACGAAAGUCUGAUGGAGCAACGCCGCGUGAGUGAAGAAGGGUUUCGGCUCGUAAAGCUCUGUUGGUAGGGAAGGAAGAUAGAGGUAGUAACUGGCCUUUAUUUGACGGUUAUUACUUAGAAAGUCACGGCUAACUACGUGCCAGCAGCCGCGGUAAAACGUAGGUGGCAAGCGUUGUCCGGAUUUAUUGGGCGUAAAGAGAGUGCAGGCGGUUCAAUAAGUGU